RNAcentral lists this ribosomal RNA (254 nucleotides) under uncultured bacterium. Its description in RNAcentral is "partial 16S ribosomal RNA". It matches the Rfam family "Bacterial small subunit ribosomal RNA", at positions 524 to 776 of the family's 1533-position model. The record is from RNAcentral.
AACGUAGGACGCAAGCGUUAUCCGGAGUUACUGGGCGUAAAGCGCGGGCAGGCGGCUCGAAACGUCUGAUGUGAAAUCUCCUCGCUCAACGGGGAGAGGCCAUUGGAAACGGUCGAGCUGGAGGGCAGUAGAGGUAGGCGGAAUUCCGGGUGGAGUGGUGAAAUGCGUAGAGAUCCGGAGGAACACCAGAGGCGAAGGCGGCCUACUGGGCCGAGGGCCGACGCUGAGGCGCGAGAGCGUGGGGAGCGAACCGG